AGUGAACGCUGGCGGUAGGCCUAACACAUGCCAGUCGAAUGGCAGCACAGUAAGAGCUUGCUCUUACGGGUGGCGAGUGGCGGACGGGUGAGGAAUACAUCGGAAUCUACUUUUUCGUGGGGGAUAACGUAGGGAAACUUACGCUAAUACCGCAUACGACCUACGGGUGAAAGCAGGGGAUCUUCGGACCUUGCGCGAUUGAAUGAGCCGAUGUCGGAUUAGCUAGUUGGCGGGGUAAAGGCCCACCAAGGCGACGAUCCGUAGCUGGUCUGAGAGGAUGAUCAGCCACACUGGAACUGAGACACGGUCCAGACUCCUACGGGAGGCAGCAGUGGGGAAUAUUGGACAAUGGGCGCAAGCCUGAUCCAGCCAUACCGCGUGGGUGAAGAAGGCCUUCGGGUUGUAAAGCCCUUUUGUUGGGAAAGAAAAGCAGCAGGUUAAUACCCCGCUGUUCUGACGGUACCCAAAGAAUAAGCACCGGCUAACUUCGUG
This 492-nucleotide ribosomal RNA is filed under the name uncultured bacterium. Its description in RNAcentral is "partial 16S ribosomal RNA". It matches the Rfam family "Bacterial small subunit ribosomal RNA", at positions 29 to 507 of the family's 1533-position model. The record is from RNAcentral.